This 439-nucleotide ribosomal RNA is filed under the name uncultured haloarchaeon. RNAcentral describes it as "bacterial SSU rRNA". It matches the Rfam family "Archaeal small subunit ribosomal RNA", at positions 10 to 449 of the family's 1478-position model. The record is from RNAcentral. Lineage: Archaea; Methanobacteriati; Methanobacteriota; Halobacteria; Halobacteriales; Halobacteriaceae.
GAUCCUGCCAAAGGCCAUUGUUAUGGGAGUCCAAUUUACCCAUGCUAUUUGGGCGGGUUUAUACCCGGAGCGGAAAUCUCAAUAACACGUGGCCAAUCUACCCUGUGGACGGGAAUACUCUGGGGAAACUGGGGCUAAUUCCCUAUAACACUUUUGUUCUGAAAGGGGCAAAUCCGGAAACUCUCCGGCUCCACAAGAUGCGGGUGGGGUCUAUUAUGUACACGGGGGGGAAACGGCCCACCGCGCCCAUAAUCGGUACGGGAUGAGAGAGCAAGAGCCCGGACACGGAAUCUGACACAAGAUUCCGGGCCCUACGGGGCGCAACAGGCGCGAAACCUUUACACUGUACGAAAGUGCGAUAAGGGGACUCCCGAGUGAGAAGGUAUUAAGCCUUCACUUUUGUACACCGUAAGGGGGCGCACCAAUAAAGACUGGGCAA